RNAcentral lists this ribosomal RNA (729 nucleotides) under Triticum aestivum (bread wheat). RNAcentral describes it as "partial small subunit ribosomal RNA". The record is from RNAcentral. Lineage: Eukaryota; Viridiplantae; Streptophyta; Magnoliopsida; Poales; Poaceae.
AUAUCACCUGCGUCUCCUGGGCGUCGGGCGGGGUCGCCUCUCGUGUGCAGUGUCUCCCCUCCUCUGGGUUAGCGAACGAUCCGCUCGUCCUCUCAGUCCACCGCAUCGAUCGAUCCCCCUCGUGAUCUCUCUUGGAUUAGCGUAACCGCUGCCCAAAGGCGGGAGGCGGAGGUGAAGGCCCGCACGUGCGUCAAUGACCUUGCGCGCUACAUCGAGUUUCUGCGGGAGGAGCAGGAGCGCCUCGUCGAGCACACAAAGAGCCUUACCGCAGCCGUGGCCGCAGCACACGCCGACACAGAAGCGAGGAAUCAGGAGAUCUACGAGCAGUCCUGCCGCUUCGAGAUGGGUCAUCUGGAGCGGCAGAGGGCGUUCGAGGUGAGCGUCGCUGAAGGUGUAGCAGCGGCAGGCACCGUAUUGCAGUUGUCUAGCUCGUCGGUAGGCUCCUCUUCCUUCUUCUCUUACUGAGCACACUCGGCAGAGGAGAGGCUGCCAGAAAUAGUACAAAGCCCCUCCGUAGUAGUAGUAUUUAGGGGCUAUUUUGUUCAGUUCAUCUGACUAUAGAUGUGGUGGAACUGUACAACCUCCUUAAAAUUAGCUAGUAUAUAUAUAGUUGAAUUAGCUAUUUCAGUACGUGGUUGGCAACAAUUGGGAAAAUGUUUGGUCGGUUCAGCUGUCGAGUCGAACUGUUUAUAUAAAGAACAACUGCUUAAUUUAUGAAUGAAAUCUAUU